This 368-nucleotide long non-coding RNA is filed under the name Manihot esculenta (cassava). RNAcentral's name for it is "long non-coding RNA (MESC_LNC005156)". Lineage: Eukaryota; Viridiplantae; Streptophyta; Magnoliopsida; Malpighiales; Euphorbiaceae. The record is from RNAcentral.
AAUAGUUCUCCAUGUUAGUGGGUUUUGAAUGAAAGGUGGAGUUGGAAGAGAGGAGGGUUAUGAGAGGUGAGUAGUAGGAGUUGUGAGUCCAUUAGCGUGAAAGAAAAGAGAAAAAGAGAAGAAUGAGAUAUUGUCUAAGAUUUUUUUGUUAGUAGUGGAAGACACGUCAGCAAAUUAACUAGUAAAAAGAGAUAAAGAGGAGUUUAUGGCUAAUUGAAUUGAAGUUUAGGAGGUUUUAUAUUAGAAAUUGAAGUUUAAGGAUAGUAUUAUUACAACACUAUAAGUUGAAAGACAAUCAGCGAAAUUUACCCGCAAAUAAUUUCAUAGUUCCUCAUAAACUUUCUGUAGUGGCUUGUGAGCUGUAGGAA